UCAGUCCAGAGGACUUGUCAGCCAGAACAGUGUGAUUGCAAGAAUGCCACACAGAGCUAUCUGAGAGAGAAAGAACUUGGCAAAUGCCUGGCAGACCCUUCAAGCUCUUACUCUGGGUCAUUUUUGUUUGAAAGACCAAGAAAUGUGAAGGUCAAUUUAUUUUAUUAAAUAAUUUGCACCUUGAGGCAAAAUUCUUUCUGAAAUAUCUACAUGAAUUUUGGGACCCAUCAUAUGAUGUUUACCAUAUAACUGAAGGGUAACUACUUCUCCACCCCAGAGUUGGAAAUGAGAAUGGAUGUGAAGUCACUCAAUUCCAGAAGCCUGGGUGUGACAUUAGGGGGGCAAGAAAAGAAGCACCUCUAAAUAUGCUGAGAAGAGUCAAGCAGGUUACGAGAGCCCAGAGUCUAGAGCAGGAUCAUGCCAGUUAUCAGCAAUGCCGAAGAUGGGAAUUUUCACCCCAGAAGAAGGUACUUCCAGUAGAGAGGACUUCCCUACAUCUGUGUCCUGGACAUAUUAUCUGCAUCAUUUCUAUUCCCGUAAAAAGGAAAUUUUCAUUGCCUGGAAAGGCCUUCAUGUGACCUGCGAGAAGCUUUCUCCCAAUCUGGCAGGCAGGCUUCUGAAAAGCCCCUGAUGUGACAUUUGCUGUGAUAUGGAAAGCCCGCUCCUAGUAAUCCAGCUGCACCCCAUUGUAAGAGAAAGGAGAUGUUACAGCAUUUACAAAAGACUUUGCUUUGCAGGUACUCAUAUACUCGUAACAGGUCUGCUCUAAAUAA
Long non-coding RNA from Manis pentadactyla (Chinese pangolin), 773 nucleotides. RefSeq lists it as uncharacterized. The transcript has 4 exons. The record is from RefSeq and is a predicted model, not a curated record. Lineage: Eukaryota; Metazoa; Chordata; Mammalia; Pholidota; Manidae.